This 355-nucleotide ribosomal RNA is filed under the name uncultured bacterium. RNAcentral's name for it is "bacterial SSU rRNA". It matches the Rfam family "Bacterial small subunit ribosomal RNA", at positions 8 to 350 of the family's 1533-position model. The record is from RNAcentral.
AGAGUUUGAUCAUGGCUCAGGAUGAACGCUAGCUACAGGCUUAACACAUGCAAGUCGAGGGGAAACGACAUCGAAAGCUUGCUUUUGAUGGGCGUCGACCGGCACACGGGUGAGUAACGCGUAUCCAACCUGCCCACCACUUGGGGAUAACCUUGCGAAAGUAAGACUAAUACCCAAUGACGUCUCUAGAAGACAUCUGAAAGAGAUUAAAGAUUUAUCGGUGAUGGAUGGGGAUGCGUCUGAUUAGCUUGUUGGCGGGAUAACGGCCCACCAAGGCGACGAUCGAGUAGGGGUUCUGAGAGGAAGGUCCCCCANAUUGGAACUGAGACACGGUCCAAACGUCCUACGGGAGGCA